UGUUAAAAAUUUCAUCCAUUUCUACUAUUAAAAAUUGACGUAGUUGAUGGAAUAACCAGACAACUGCACACGGCGUGCCACAUGUGCCUUAUUUUGAUGUAUAUGGACUUGUUUUUAAUAAUAGAAUUUGAUGGAAAUUUUAACA
This is a non-coding RNA of Gossypium raimondii (Peruvian cotton), 145 nucleotides long. Lineage: Eukaryota; Viridiplantae; Streptophyta; Magnoliopsida; Malvales; Malvaceae. The record is from Rfam.